GCAGUGUGUGGCGCAGCGGUUAGCGCUGUUGGCCAGCAAUUUUCCAUCGCGGGUUCGACCCCCGGUGGAGGCA
This is a non-coding RNA of Caenorhabditis brenneri, 73 nucleotides long. NCBI's taxonomy places the organism in Eukaryota, Metazoa, Nematoda, Chromadorea, Rhabditida, Rhabditidae. The record is from the annotation of a GenBank genome assembly.